Molecule: ribosomal RNA, 477 nt
Filed under: uncultured bacterium
Lineage: Bacteria
Description: bacterial SSU rRNA
Rfam family: Bacterial small subunit ribosomal RNA
Source: RNAcentral
GAUGAACGCUAGCGGCAGGCUUAACACAUGCAAGUCGAGGGGCAUCGAGAGUAGCAAUACUUGUCGGCGACCGGCGCAAGGGUGCGUAACACGUGAGCAACAUACCCGUUUCAGGAGGAUAACCGGAGGAAACUCUGCCUAAUACUCCAUGACAUCAUCAAACGGCAUCGUUUGAUGAUUAAAGAUUUAUCGGAAACGGCUUGGCUCGCGGGACAUUAGCUUGUUGGUGAGGUAACGGCUCACCAAGGCUACGAUGUCUAGGGGUUCUGAGAGGAAGGUCCCCCACACUGGAACUGAGACACGGUCCAGACUCCUACGGGAGGCAGCAGUGAGGAAUAUUGGACAAUGGUCGGAAGACUGAUCCAGCCAUGCCGCGUGAAGGUUACUGUCCUAUGGAUAUUAAACUUCUUUUGUAUGAGAGCAAUAAGGUGCACGCGUGCACCGAUGAGAGUAUCAUACGAAUAAGCAUCGGCUAAC